CCCUAGAUGGCGAGUGUCCAGUACAAAUUGUGGGAGAGUUAUACAAGUGUCGUGCUGUUAAGCGAAACAGCAAAGCAUGUUGCACCUUUACUGGCAAGUGUCCAGUACGGAGUUGUGAAGAGUUAUACAAGUGUCGUGCUACUAGGUGAAGGAGCAGACAAUGUUGCACCCUAGAUGGUGAAAGUCUAGUACAGGGUUGUGGGAGAGUUAUGCAAGUGUCAUGCUACUAGGCGAAGCAGCAGAAAAUGUUGCACCCUAGAUGGCGAAAGUCUAGGAGCCAAAAGCAUCACUAGCUUAUGCUUUGACCUGAGUAGUAGGGACACGUGGAAUUCUGUGUGAAUUAGCAAGGAUCACCUUGCAAGACUAAAUACUCCUAGUCAACCGAUAGUGAAUUAGUACCAUGAGAGAAGGGUGAAAAAACCCCACAUCGGGAGUGAAAUAGAACAUGAAA
Non-coding RNA from Glycine max (soybean), 451 nucleotides. The record is from Rfam. Lineage: Eukaryota; Viridiplantae; Streptophyta; Magnoliopsida; Fabales; Fabaceae.